This is a non-coding RNA of Callithrix jacchus (white-tufted-ear marmoset), 29164 nucleotides long. Lineage: Eukaryota; Metazoa; Chordata; Mammalia; Primates; Cebidae. The record is from RefSeq and is a predicted model, not a curated record.
UAGAAUAAGGGGCAGAAACAUAUGAUUAUCUCAGAAGAUGCAGGAUAAGCUCCUGAACAAAAGCUCACACUCUUUUGUGUGUGAAAAAAAAAGUCUGAACUCACUAGAGCUAGAAUAGAGCUGCCUCCACCCAUUAAAGACCACCAACGAAAAUCCCCCAGCUAAGGGGGUGCUCAGUGGUGAAAGCCAGAUAGCUCUUCCCCUACGAUCAGGAGGAAGGUGAGGCAAACACUCCCCACUUCCACUCGACACUGUCUGGAAGGCUCUGGCAGGGCAGUUAGGUAAGAAAAAGAUGUCAAGGGCACCCAUAGUGGAAAGGAAGAAGUAAAAUGCUAUGUCGGAAUAUCCAUGUCCUCCCAAUGUUGAAAUCUUUACUCCCCAGGUGAUGGAAUUUGGAAAUGAGACUUUUGCGAGAUUAGGAUAUGAGAGCCUUCAUAAAUUAGAUUCGUGUCUGUAUAAUAGAAGCCUUGGAAGACCCCCGGGCCCCUUCCUUUCACGUUGGGGGACACAGUGAAAAGACAGCCAUCUAUGAAACCAGAAACAGGCCCCUGCCAGACACCAAAUCUACUGGUGCCUUGACCUUGCACUUCCCAGGCUCCAGAACUGUGGGAAAUACAUUAUGUUGUUUAUAAGCCACUUGAUUUAUGGUACUCUGUUGUGGAAGCUCAAAGACACUAGACACAAAACUCUCUGUUUGCUGAUUAUAUGACAUUAUAUAUAGAAAAUCCACCAAAAAUCUAUUAAAACUAAUAAACAUGCAUAGCAAUGUGGCAGGAUACAAGAUCAAUAUACAAAAAUCAAUUUCAUUUCUAUACAAUAGCAAUGAACACUCCAAAAAUGAAGAAGAGAAUCUGGUUUAUACUAUCAGCAAAAAGAACAUUCCUAGAAGUAAAUUUAGCAAAAGAAGCAUAAGACUUGUGUACUGAAAAAUGCAGAAUAUUUUUGAAAGGAAUCAAAUAAUAUGCAAUUAAAUGGAAAGCUGUCCCAAAGUCAUGGAUCAGGAGAUGUAAUAUUGUUAAGAUGGGAACACCCGCAAAUUCAGCUACAGCUUCAAGGCAGUCUCUACCAAACUCCCACCUGGCUUUUUACAAGCUGGUCCUCACAUUUGUCGGGAAAUACAAGGGAUUCGGAAUAGCCAAAACAAUCUAGAAAGAGAAGAGCAAAAUUGGAGGGCUCACAUUUCCUGAUUCAAACUUACUGCAAAGCUACAGUAAUUAAGACAGUGUGGUGCUGGCAUAAGGAGAGACAUACAGAUCAAUGGAGUAAAUUGAGAGUGCAGACACAAAUCCUUGCAUUUAUGGUCAAAUGAUUUUUUUUUUUUUAAAAGAUGAUUCGGCCGGGUGCGGUGGCUCACGCCUGUAAUCCCAGCACUUUGGGAGGCCAAGGUGGGUGGAUCACGAGAUCAAGAGAUCGAGACCAUCCUGGUCAACAUGGUGAAACCCCGUCUCUACUAAAAAUACAAAAAAUUAGCUGGGCAUGGUGGUGCGUGCCUGUAAUCCUGGCUACUCACUACUCAGGAGGCCGAGGCAGGAGAAUUGCCUGAACCCAGUAGGUGGAGGUUGCAGUGAGCCGAGAUGGCGCCAUUGCACUCCAGCCUGGGUAACAAGAGCGAAACUCCGUCUCAAAAAAAAAAAAAAAGGUGAUUCAAGUGCAGUGGUGAGAAGCAGGGAAAGAGUAGAACGAGGUCUUCCAUCUGUAACUGUGAACAAUCAAUUGAGAUCACUCACUUCCUUCAGACCAGCCAUCAGUUGAUUUCUGACAAGGGUGCCAAGACAAUUCAGUGGGGGAAGGAGUAGUCUUUUCAGAAAAUGGUGCUGGGACAACUGGAUAGCCAAGUGCAAAAGAAGGAAUUUGGACCCCUACCUCAUGCUGUGCACCAAAAUUAACUCGAAAUGGAUCAUGGACCUAAAUGUAAGCACUAAAAUUAUAAAAUCCUUAGGAAGGCCGGGCACGGUGGCUCACACCUGUAAUCUCAGCACUUUGGGAGGCUGAGGUGAGCAAAUCACCUGAGAUUAGGAGUUUGAGACCAGCCUGGCCAACCUGGUGAAACCCCAUCUCUACUAAAAACACAAACAUUAGCUGGGUGUGGAGGUGCACGCCUGUAAUCCCAGGUACUCGGGAGGCUGAGACAGAAGAAUUGCUUGAACCCAGGAGGCAGAGCCAUGCUCGCGCCACUGCGGUCCAGCUUGGGUGACAGAGAGAGACUUUGUCUCAAAAAAAAAAGAAAAGAAAAAUUAAAAUCCUUAGGAAAGAACAUAGGAAUAAAUCUUGGCAAGCUUGUGUUAAACAAUGGUUUUUAAUAUACACUAUCAAGGAAGUGGAAAGGCCACCCAUGAAACGGGAGAAAACAUCUAUGAAUCAUCUAUCUGACAAUCUGACUCCUGCCUCAGCCUCCCGAGUAGUUGGGAUUACAGGCAUCUGCCACCAUGCCCUGCUAAUUUUUUGUAUUUUUAGUGGAGAUGGGGUUUCACUAUAUUGGCCAGGCUGGUCUCGAAUGCCUGACCUCAUGAUCCACCCGCCUAGGCCUCCCAAAGUGCUGGAAUUACAGGUGUGAGCCACUGCCCUGGGCCAAUAACUCUUAUAACUUUUCAGCAAAAAGACAAAUCACCUGCCUUUAACAAUGGACCAAGGAUUUGAACAGACCUUGCUCCAAAGAAGAUGUACUCAUGAUCAAUAGCCCACGAUAAGCUGUUCCUAUCAUUAGUCAUCAGGGAAAUGCAAAUCCAAACACAGUGAGAUGCCAGGAUGCACCCGCUAAGGUGGCUGUAAAUGAAUGAGACAGACGUUAGCAAGUGUCGGUGGCGGUGUGGAGAAACAGGAACGCUCGUUCACUGCUGGUGGGAAUGCAAAAUAGUGCAGCCACUUUGGAAAACAGACUGGCUGUUUCUGAAAAUGCUAAACAUACAGUUGCCAUAAGAGCCAGCAGUUCCACUCCAAGAGAAAUGAAGAGAAAUAUCUCCAAAAGAAGUGAAAACAUACAUGUGUAUAACAAUAUGCUCAUGCACGUUCAUAGCGGCAUGGGUUUUUUGUUUGUUGGUUGGUUGGUUUUGUAUUUUUUUUUUGAGACAGAGCCUCACUCCUACACCCAGGCUGGUGUUGAGAACUGAACGCGAGCCCGGGAAUCUCGUCCAGCGAGAGGGUCCCAAACCUGGAAGAGAGCGCAUGCCGGAAAAAAAGGAGACAGAAAAGGCGAGGUCUGGAGGGCUACAUGCACUAUGCUCAUGCAGCAAUUUUUAUUUUUGCAAUGUGUUUCAUUAUAUACCUUUUUGAAGUCAAAGUUGUUUACACUAGAUUAACGUACUUAAGUUACAGUAAGCAAGUUACACCCAAUAAGUAAGUUAAGCACAGUAAGUAGGCUACGCCCAGUAAGUAGGUUACCUCCAGUAAGUAGGUUACGCCCAAUAGGUCAAGGUAAGUAAGUUACAGUCAGGCCCUGUAAGCCAUGGUAAGUAAGUUACAGUUAUGCCCGGUAAGUUAUGAUAAGUAAGUUACCAAGUGUAAAUACUUAAGUUAAUAUUUUACAAUGAAGGUAACAAGGGUAACACAGUCAAGCAAUAAACCAUAAGAAGCUGAAAGUGGACACAAUGCCUCCCAAGUCCUCAUAUCCAUAAAGUAAUGUCUAUUAAUUAUUUAGAAUAGCAUAUGGUUCCUUUCUCGGUUCCUGCUUUCCCUCAGCUCGACUCCCCCAACCGGGGAUCUGUGUCCGGGCUCAAGCUCACCGUAUGGCGAGGCCCAUUUCCCAGGGGCCUCACGCGGGAGCGAUCUUCACAGAUUCCCUCAGGCUGGAGUGCAGUCUUGCAAUCCUGGCUCACUACAACCUCUGCCCCCUGGGCUCAAGAGAUUCUCGUGCCUCAGCCUCCAGAGUAGCUGAGAUUACAGGCACACACCACCACACCCGGUUAAUUUUUGUGUAGAGACAGGGUUUCACCAUGUUGGCUAGGCUGGUCUCAAACUCUUGGCCUCAAGUGAUCCACCUGCCUCAGCCUCCCAAAGUGCUGGGAUUACAGGCAUGAGCCACCGCACCCAGCCAGCACUAGUUUUAAUAGCUAAAAAGUGGGAACAAUUCAAAUGUUCAUCAACGAAUGCAUAGGAAACAUGCUGGUCUAUCCACACAGUGGGAUAUUAUUCAUCCAUUAAAAGGAACAGUGUUAAUCCAAGCUGCAGCAAGGAUGAGCUUGGAGGAUUCCACGCUGAGGGAAAGAAGCCAAACCGAAAACACCACACGUGUUGUGAUUCAUUCAUUCCAAGUGUUCAGAAUGGGCAAAUGAGCAGAGAUGGAAAGUAGAUUGAUUAGUGGCUGCCUGGGCCUUUGGGGGACAGGACGGGUGCGUGCGUGUGGGGGUCUGUCCUGGGGAUGGUGAAACUGUUCUGAAAUUAAGCAGUGGUGAUGGUUGCAGAAUUCUGACUACAGCAAAGUGCCACCACACUGUCUACAGCUAGACUUGAAACUGCUAAGCUUUGUGCUAUGUGAAUUAUACCUCAAUAAAGGUGUAAAAAAACUCCCCAAAUACCAACAAAAGCAGCCAACGGAGAAGGCUUCCGACGCGUGCUGCUGCGGGCUGUGGGCUGGGGAGGCUGAGGCGGCCACCCAGAGCAGGGCCUCCUGCAGCUUGGCGAGGGACAUACUUGGCUUCCUCCAGUUGGUCCUGAGUUGGGGGCAAAAAUAGGGAACCCGGCAGCCGUUAGCCACGGCCUGAGCCUCUGGGAUGAUUGCUACAGAGGUAUGGUUUGGUGUCCCGGCUUCUCAGGGGUCAGAGUUACUGACGUACGUGACCCGGCCACUGCCUGCUGGCACAGCUAGUCUUUCCUCCCCGUGUGGAAAGUCGGGACAAAAACUGUCCUACGUCCGGCGUUGACAGGCAGGGCUGAGUGCCAUCUGAGGCCUGGGACACAUGUGUAGCUAUCUUCUCCAGGGGUUCCUGGCUGGCCCUGUUCUGCCCAGGGGGCCCUGCCCUUGUACGGAUUCCCGUCUAGAGGGGGAAACCAGUAAACAGGUGGGCACAUCGGUCAAUUCAAGAAUUUGGGGUAGUGACCAGAGCUACAGAGGAAGCAAGAGGUAAUGGGAAAAGCAAUGAUAUGGGGCUUAGCAGUCAGGGCCAAGAUGCCGGGCAGGGACAGUGCCCCAAGGCCUUUGCCUGACACUUGGGGGAUAAGGGGGCCCUUCCACGCCAGGGAAUAGCAAAGGCCCAAGGCCAGAGAGUGUUGGAGGGGACUCUGGGGUGACAUGGGGCUGGGAUCCUACGUGUUACUGUGUGGGUGCUCACAGGUAUGGAGCCCUGGGGAGCAGUGAACGCAGGGCCCGAUUUGUUCCUUUAAACCUCUUUGGUUGAAGGUCAACAACAGACCAGGGGCCAGACGGGAAGCAGGGAGACGGAUGAUCGCUUCCUACAGGGGCCAGGCCGGAGCUGACGGCAGCUGGGACUAGAGGCAGAGAUGGCCAAGAGGUCCCAAGCAAGGGGCCCUCCCUGCUUUCGGGACAGUAAACAGUCCCCCUUGUGAGGUUUGCAGGGGGAUGCAAGGCUUGGGGGGCAGGGAGGGGUGGGGACCCCAGGGAGGAAGGGAGGACUGAGCACCAGAGGGUGUGGGUGCUUUCAGGUUCAUUCAUGCACGGAUUUGGGGUGAGAUGCAGGACUGGGCACACCCCAUGGGGUGGGCCAGGGCUGGGAGCCUGAGCAUGCAGUGCCCAGUGGGAGCUCGAUGAGCUGUCCCCGGGGUCUCUUUGGAGACCCCAAGUCAUAGGAUCUGCUAAACUCUCUGUGCAGGGUGGGGAUGGGAGUCUCUCCAGGAGCUGCAGGGCUCUGGGGGCCUCCCCUUUGUUCUUUCUCUGGGUCGGAGACAGGAGGAGGGAGGGUAGACAGGAUGCUAUAGGCACAGGCUGAGGCCUGGCUGGCCUCCGAAGGCCCAUGGCCUUGACCAAGAGCAGCAGACUGUGGCCAGGCAGGGCCACCAAAGCCCAGGAUGGACAUCAGAGCGGUCCCCUACCAUGGAGACCUUGUCCCCUCAGAGGAUCCCGGCUAGCACCUGCACAACCUGGCACACACACUGUUAUCCUCACAAGGACUCCUGGACAUGAGAAGGCUGGUGAGGCUCCGAUACCGUCUCCUCUCAGGAUCCCUGGCAGUCAGCGGAAUCCAGAAAUCCAGGCUGAGCUGAGCAGGGGGAGGCCCUGUCCAGGGUAGAUGGCCUACAUGGGCCUACUGGCCGGUGUGGGGCCUCCUGGGUGGGCCCAGAGGGCUGAUGGCUGGACUGGUGGGCCCAGAGGGGCAGUAAAUAGUCUGCCUAUUUACUGUCUCCAGCUGUGGCUCCCCUCCACUGAUGGGGCCCCCUCUCUGGGGUUUCCCCUCUGCUGAUGGGCUCCUCUUCCUGGACCGACUGACCCCUCCACCCUGUCUAUGUCUGCAGGUUGGGAACAGGUGGGGUUGGCUGGCACCUGACACUGAUUUAUUAAUAAAUAAAUCAAUAAUUUUGGGGGGCGUCUGCCUGCUGGGGGUGGGAUGGGUGGUUGGGCUCACCUUCACUCUUGUCUAAACCCAUGAGUUUUUGUUCAACAUUGGGAUGGGGAAGCAGUUAGGACCCUGUUCCCUGUGGGGAGUGAGGCCGGUGUGGGGUGUCUGUUGCCCAUGACCAGAGUGGCUGAGCAACCUGUGCUUCAUGUCCCCAAGCACAGUAUAGCCGUGGGGAGCCCAGGGGCCACUGAUCCCCUUCCUACAGCCUGCGUGGGGCUUAGAGGGCCUGGGAGUGCAGAAGAGGACCCAGCCUGCUUUCCACAUUGGCUCCGUUCCCUCUGUGCUGGUGCCCACCAGGCCCGGCCUUCUCUGGCCAGAUUCACCUUGCCCUGGACCCGGCUCUGUCCCCACCCUGUGUUGUCACCAUCCCCUGUGUGGAGGGACCCAAGAGGGCUCUUCCCCCAGCUUCAGGAGCUCUUCCUGCCCAUGGUCCUCACAGUCUGGGCCUCCCCAGAGGUUUCUGGGGCCAUCAGUUCACUGAACAAGCCUAUCCCAGCUGUUAGUGACAUUGCCUUGUUUACGAGCUGGGCCACAGAGAGGAAGCUGUGCUGCUGAAGGGGACCCUGAAUUUCCCACUGGAGAGGCUGCCUGGCUGAGACCUCAACAAGUGGGCAGUGACCAAGAAAAGAAAGGGGAGGUUGUCGGACGCUGGCCAGCCCCACCUGGCCCCAACUUGCAGACUUGGCCCAGGGAGGGGAGCCCUCCUGGAGAAGGGACCUCAUCAAGCAGAAGGAAGCCCCCCCUAGAGAGGGGACCCCAUCAGCGGAGGGGAGCCCCACCUGGAGAGGUGACCCCAUCAGUGGAUGGGAGUCCCAGGUAGAGAGAGGGGAGCCCCAGAUGGAAAGGAGGCCCAUCAGUGGAGGGGAGCCCCAGGUGGAAAAAGGAUCCUGUCAGUGGAGGGGAGCCCCAGAUGAAAAGGCAACUCUAUCAGUGGAGGGGAGCCACAGGUAGAGAGGGGACCCCAUCAGCAGAGGGGAGCCCACAGGGGUAUCCAGACAGGAGGCCAGGUUGGGUAUCCUGGGAGUGGGAAGUGGGUCAAAGGUGAGACUUUUGCAGGGGGCAAGGUUGUUUCAGGUUGGGAGUGCCCGGUGGGCAGUGGGGGUAGCUGGAUGCAGCAGGGAGGAGGAGCGGAUGGCCAGGCAUGGGCCCCGGCUGCGAAGAGCACAGCCAUGGAAGAGGAGGGAGGUGGAGCCAUGUGGGGAGCAGGCUGGGGAGAGAGGCCCGGGGAGGCUGAUGGUUUGGCUCUGAGGUGAAGGAGAACGAAGAGCCAUCUUUGUUGCCGCAGUCACCACUCUGCUCUCCAAAUCGAUCCUGAAUAACUUUGAGAAGAAAACUUAAAAAUGAGACCAGUGAGUGGGAGGUGGGAGGGGCUCGUGGCAGACGAGGGGGCCGCCCCACUCCCUUUGGCUGUGGGGGCGCUGGGGGCCACAUGCAUGCCAGGGACGCAGAGCCCCUGGCCCUGGGCCAGCCUCACUGGCAGUGUCUGGGGACAGUGGGUCUCUGUGAUUCCUCCUCAUCCCCACGGUCCCUGGCUGGGUGCCCACCCUUGCCCUCAUCUCGCCGUCUGCCUUCCUUUCAUUUCUUUUUGGCCUGGUUUUCUCACUGUCCAGGAAGGAACUUGGCGUCUUGCACCCGAGGUAGGCAGAGCCAGGAGCCCAGCUGACCUAGAAGGGCUCGGGUGGAGCGGGUGUGUGGUGGGAAAGUGGCUGAAGCCUCUGGCCUGCCUCAUCCUCCAUGCCUGGAGCCUUCCCCUCCAUCCUCAUGCUUUCCAGAGGGUCAGCCAUGCGGGCAAGAUCUGGGCCCAUUCUGGACCCUGCUGUAUCCCAGGGACCAUUUAAAUGGGGGCCCAGCACAGACUAGGAGUUCAUUUGUUAAAUGGAUAAGCAAAGCCCAAAGCCCGUUGUGUUCCUUGCCUGAGCCAAGAAGGAAGCCUGGGCCUGGCCUCUGAGUCCAGCCAUGCGCCUUGCAGGGUAGGAAGACAGUGGCAUUGCAUAACUGACCAGCUAUAGGACUGGGCCACGCCGAGAGGGAGAGGUGCCUGGAUGUCCCCACAGUGCCCGUCAGACUCCUCCUUCCCGGCUGCUGGCACCUCCUUGGUUUUUCAACCCCGUCGGAGUCCAGGGGUAAGGCGAGACUGGGAACACUGUCUCCUCCCCUGGACGUGGCUGAUCUCAGCCUGGAGCCCCUCCGCAGGGUUUCCCAGGAGCAGGUUCCAGACCCUGAGCCCAGGACUGCGUGUGCCCAGCACUCAAGCACUGAGAGACCCAUCUUGUGUCCCAUGAGCCUUCAGUGCUGGGUGUCGGGUGAUGGCAGAGCGCUGGUGGGGCUGAUGGUCUUCUCCAUCCGUCUGCAACUCCAGACUCAUAUGUGACCUUGGGUCCUCAGUGUGCACAGCAUGUGGGGGGUGAGGGGCUGCUGCGGUCUCAAUGUGCCUCCAUCACUGUUCCCAUGAUGAGCUCACAUCAUUGUCGUGCCAGCAGGCUCUGACAGGAGGAGUUUAGUCCCCUCCUCUCUGGCUGUCUCUCUCGGCCUGUCUUUGCCCUUCCAUCAUGAAAUGAGGCAGCCUCACCAGAGGCGGCCCCUCAAUCUUGGAUCUCCCGGCAUCUAGAACCAGGAGCCAGUAAAUUACCCAGUCUGUGGUUUUCUGUUAUAACAGCUCAUGACGAACUCCGACCACAGGGCCCGCCAGGUCCCCCAGCUUAUCACCACGAGGCCACGCCCUGAUGGGUCUGCAUCCGGGUACCUGCCCCAAUCUCACGCUGAAUUGGAAUCCCCAGCUUAUCACCACGAGGCCACGCCCUGAUGGGUCUGCAUCCGGGUACCUGCCCCAAUCUCACGCUGAAUUGGAAUCCCCAGCUUAUCACCACGAGGCCACGCCCUGAUGGGUCUGCAUCCGGGUACCUGCCCCAAUCUCACACUGAAUUGGAAUCCCCAGCUUAUCACCACGAGGCGACGCCCUGAUGGGUCUGCAUCCGGGUACCUGCCCCAAUCUCCCGCUGAAUUGGAAUCCCCAGUGCUGCACAUGGGGCCUGCUGGGAGGCGAUGGCAUCAUGGGGAUGGACUUCCCCCGUGGUGCUGGUCUGGUGAGUUCUCAUGACAGCUGCUUGUUUAAAAGCGUGUGACACCUCCCCUCCCUUCCUCUGGGCUUCCUCCUGCCCGGCCAUGUGAAGCGCCAGCUCCCCCUUCGCCUUCCGCCAUGAUUGUAAGUUUCCUGAGCCCACCCCCAGAAGCCAAGUAGGUGCCAGCACCAGGCUUUCUGUACAGCCUGGGGAACCGUAAGCCAAUUAAACCUCUUUUCUUUAUAAAUUACCCGGUCUCAAGUAUUCUUCACACUACUGCAAGAACAGACUAACACACCCACUUUGUCCGCAGGACUCCACUCUCCACCAAACUUCACGUACAAAUACACAGGUUUCCCUCUUCCUUUGGGACCUCAUUUCUUUUUUCUGUUUUUCUUUUUAUUUUUUUGAGAUGGAGUCUCACUGUCACCCAGGCUGGAAUGUAGUGGCGUGAUCUCGGCUCACUGCAACCUCCGCCUCCUGGGUUCAAGCCAGUCUCCUGCCUCAGCCUCCCCAGUAGCUAGGACUACAGGCAUGUGCCACCUCGCCCAGCUAAUUUUUGUAUUUUUAGUAGAGACGGGGUUUUACCAUAUUGGCCAGGCUUGUCUUGAACUCCUGAUUUCAAAUGAUCUGCCCGCCUCAGCCUCCCAAAGUGCUGGGGCCUCACUUCUGAAGGCUCCUAUUCUACAUGAAACUUAUAUUGAAUAAAUGUGUCUGCUUUGCUUCUGUUAAUGUCUUUUGCUCGGAGAGCCUCAACCAUGAACCUUGCCACGAGUGAGGCCUUUUCCUGCAGGUGCUUCGGCCGUGGUGGGGGUUCUGUGAGGGCCUGGUGGUUUACAGAAGCAGGCCUCCCAACAGAGAAGUAGGCCCAGGGCAGGGAGCAUAACGACAUCGAAGACGGUGGGAUGCCCGCCAGGCUGAGCUGGGCCCCAGGGAAGCCCAGGAAGCUGCCCUCUGCCCCACUCACCUGCGAGCAUAUUCUCCCAGGGGGUCCUAAAUCUGGUGCCUGCCCUGACGUGCUUCUUGUCCCACACUCCCUGCUCGGGCUCUGGAGACAGAGCUCCGAAGGCUCGUGGGUCCCCAUCACUUUCACUGUUGGCCACGUCAAAGGCUGCUGGUCAGACCCUGAGUCCCUCUGCAGUGGCCCAAGGGUCCAAAGUCAUGUGGAUCAGAAGGAAGGGCCUUGCCCCACCCCACAAGGGGCUGUGGACAGAGCCCCCACCCAGGGCUGUCAUGGGAGGCUGUGAACGCCCCCGCCCCCGCACACAUCAAGCCCGCAGGGCAUGUGCCCACUCCCCGCCUGGCAGAAUGUGACACACCUGCCGGUCUGAUUCCAGGAGAGGAGGACAAGCGUGUGGCAGUCCCGACCUUCAGCACCUCGUAUGGGACCUUAUUUGGAAAUAGGGUCCCUGCAGAUGGAACUGAGAUAUGGCCAUAGGGUGGGCCCUGCUUGGCUCUGACCGGUGACCUUAGGAACAGGGAAUCUGGAUGCCCACUCACACACUGGAAGGACCCGUGUGAAGAUGAAGGCGGAGAUGGGAGUGCCAAGAAACCCGAGGCUGCCCGGGAGCCCCAGAGGCUGGAGGGACUGGGCAGAGGCCCCCUCGCAGCCCCAAACUUGAGCUUGGCCUUGGGGCCCCAGGGCUGGGAAGAGAAAUGUCUGCUGUGAAGGCUGCCAGACUGCGGCUCUUUGCCGUGGGAGUCCUAGCAGAUGAGUGCAGGUGACUUUAGUCAGGCCCAACGAGCAACCCCGAAUGGUGCGGACCCAUCAGAACAGGGAUGGCCACAGCAUCGACUGACGUCUCAGAAGCUCUUUGUCAUUCCCUGCUUGGAUCCUGGGGGAAGGGAUUGGGGUGGCUUCUGGGGGACACCUGGAGGCUCGGGGUAGGGGCUGUUCAACUCGCAUGGAAACUGUUUUGUGUUUUCACAACCACAUGGCUGUGCAGGUGCACACCACUCUGUGUCAGGCCAGGGGGACAAGAAAUGCCCUCAGGUCCCAGGAGGUCAUGGCUUCCAUGUCAGCAGAGCUCUCUGCCCAGGCACGACCUUUGGAAUUUGUUGUUUGGAAACUGUCUGAGGUUGAGUUCCCCAAGAGACACUCCCAGAUAGAGACAUGCAGGUCCAGGGUAGAGGGGUGAGUGCUCUUGAGGACAAAGGCUGUGAGAGGGGGCGGGAGCAGGUCGGGGAGCUGAGCUGUGCUCCACUCAAAGGUUUUUGAUGAGGUCUCGGUGCUUUUGGUGCUGAAGGGGCCCUUAGAGAGGCCAUGAAUGGAGGUAAAGGACUGACCCAUUGCUUCCUCCCUUCGACUAUUCAUGGGGUAGGGGUGGCUCCCAGGGCAGGGAGAAACCCUGGGUCAGAAACUGCCUUUGGCUGAGGGCAUUUCCUUGGGAAGGGCAAGCUGUAAGCUGCGGGCAGCUGGCUGGACCCGCGCUGUGGUCCCGCUGGGAGGGAUGGUGCAGUGCACAGCGGCAAGCGCCUGCCACGGUCCUCCAUGAUGUCGAUGUAGAGAUGUAGAGACAGAUACACAGAAUGAUAUAGAUAAAUAAGUACAGAUCCAUAGAGAUGAAGACAGGCAGGCAGGCAGACAGACAGGCACGCAGACAGGCAGGCAGGCAGACAGGCAGGCAGACAGACAGGCAGACAGGCAGACAGGCAGGCAGGCAGGCAGGCAGGCAGGCAGACAGGCAGGCAGGCAGGCAGGCAGGCAGGCAGGCAGGCAGACAGAUAGACAGACAGGCAGGCAGACAGGCAGACAGGCAGGCAGGCAGGCAGGCAGGCAGGCAGACAGAUAGACAGACAGGCAGGCAGACAGGCAGGCAGGCAGGCAGAUAGACAGACAGACAAGCAGGCAGACAGGCAGACAUAGACAGACAGAGAGGCAGGCAGAUAGGCAGACACAGACAGACAGAUAGGCAGGCAGAUAGAUAGGCAGGCAGGCAGGCAGACAGAUAGACAGACAGGCAGACAGGCAGGCAGGCAGGCAGGCAGAUAGACAGACAGACAAGCAGGCAGACAGGCAGACAUAGACAGACAGAGAGGCAGGCAGAUAGGCAGACAGGCAGGCAGACACAGACAGACAGAUAGGCAGGCAGAUAGAUAGACAGGCAGGCAGACAGGCAGGCAGGCAGACAGACAGGCAGACAGACAGGCAGACAGACAGGCAGGCAGACAGGCAGGCAGGCAGACACAGGCAGACAGGCAGACAGGCAGGCAGACACAGACAGACAGAUAGACAGACUGGCAGGCAGGCAGACAGAUAGGUAGGUACAGACAGAUAGGCAGACAGAUGGGCAUACAGGCAGGCAGACAGACAGACAGACAGGCAGGCAGACAGAUAGGCAGAUAGACAGACAGACUGGCAGGCAGGCAGACAGAUAGGCAGACACAGACAGACAGAUAGACAGGCAGACAGAUAGACUGGCAGGCAGGCAGACCUAUAAAGAUAGAUUAGAUAGACAUGGAGAUGCAGGCAGAGACACAGAUGUGGGUAGACAUGUAGAUAAGUAGAGAUACAGGUAGCUAAGUAGCUAGGUAGCUGGAUGGGCGGAUGGAUGGAAGGGGAUUUAUUAUGGGAAUUGACUGACAUGAUUAUGGACACUCAGAAGUCCCAUGAUUUGCCCUGCGCAAGCUGGAGACCCAGGGAGACUGGUAGUGUGGCUCCGUUCAAGCCUGAAGACCUGGUAAGCAGGGAGGCUGGCUGCGUAACUCUCGGUCAGAGGGCCACUGGUGUAAGUCCCAGGGUCCAAAGGCCAGAGAAGCAGGAGUUCCAGUGUCUAAGGGUAGUAGGAGGUGGGUGUCCCAGCUCUGGUGGGCGAGAGAGAGAGAGAGAGAGAGAGAGAGAGAGAGAGCGAGCAAGAGAGCCCAGUUCAUCUUCCGUUCUGCCUGGGCCCUCCGUGGUUUGGAUGGUGCCGUCCCACAUUGGGGAGGACAGAUCUUCCUUGCUUAUCCCUCAGAUUCAAACGCCAGUGCCUCCUGGAAACACCCUCACAGGCACACGCAGAGAUGAUGCUUCAGUGCUCUCUGGCUGUCCCUUCACCCAGUUCAAGCUGACCGCUGAACUGAACCAUCACGCGUUCACUCCCUGUCGACUUGGAGGCCAUACGCAUCUCCUUAAACUGUACGUACUCUCCGACAGACCACAGCAAGGCCAUGGUUCCAGCUAACGGGUUACAACUACCCCAUGCAACCAGACGCACUGACCCCUUCCCUGGAAGAGGAGGGGAGUCCUGGAGUGAUGCUGACUCUCCCGACUACCUGCGGCUUCAAGACUGUGGUGUGAAGUUAGCGAUACCUUGACACUGAGACAAAGUCACUACAUCUUAUGUUACGUGAUAAAAGAGUGAGAGAGGAAAGACAACAGAAACUCGCUUAAUAUACGUACCCAUAUGCACGAAUGCUUUCUUAACAAAGUAGAGAGGAAACACACGUGACAGUUACAGUCCUCAUUUCUGUAACCGGCCAAGCUACAGGAGCGCCUGGUGUUUAUAACCAAGGUCUUCUCCCGUUCUGUGGUCCCUUUGCCCUAGCAAGCGCCUCAGCUGGUGGUGGUUCUGUACCUGGCCAAGGUGACCCAAGGCUUCAUUGCUUAAGGGUCUGGGCCUUCUGUAGUUUCCCAGGGAUCUUAACCACAAGGUGUGGUUCUACUCAGGGAAGCCCUAAGGGGCCUCCUGCAUUCCACGCUGGCUCUUCCAACCUCGGUUGUGGAGUGCAGUCCAAUGCCCCCUGGGUCCUCCAGAUCAAUCCCCAGCCAGCAUCCAAACUCCCCUCUUGGGCUGUUGACUCUGAGGCUUGAGGAGCCCCCGGUGCCCGGGUGCCUGGGUGGCACCUUAACUUCCAGUUCAAUGGAGUCAUUGCUAUGUCCCCUGGUGGCAGCAUUCCUCGGCUGGGAACCAAGGUCCCUAGGCUGGCAGAGCAUAAAGUCAUGGGAACAGGAAAGGAAAAGUCUGCUAGUGGGUCACUGGGGGUGAGGGAGGGUGGUGCCACUCCCACUUCUGCCCCCUGGUUCCCAGGCCGGGGAAUCCUGACUGUGGGAGAAACAGCUGCACAUACUGGACACUGAUCAGAGCCCACACAUCCUCCUGGAGCGCCUUGCCCCAGCCCCGCAAGGUGUCGCCACCCAGCUGGUACUGGAGCUGCGUCUGCAAAAGCCCAUUCCACCAUUCCGUCAUGCCAGCUGCUUCAGGACGAUGGAGAACACAGUAAGACCCAUGAAUGCCCGGAGCAUGAGUCUUUGCCACACUUCUUUGGCUGCAAAGUGAGUUCCUUGGUCAAAGCAACACUGCGUGGACAGCGUGGCCGUGGAUGAGCAUUCUGAGCCCACAGAGGGUAGUGGUGACCAUGUGCAGGGAGGGCAAGUCCGUAUCCAUGGCAGGUGCCCAUCCCAGUAAGAACAAACCACGGGAGCCAUCUGGUGUCAUCCACUGGCCCCAGGCACGGGCUGGUCACUCUGGGGAAUGGACCUUGUCAGGCUGAGUGCUGGCCUCUGCUGCUGGCAGAUGGGGCACCCGGUGGUGGUGCCACCCAGCUCGGCCUUGGUGAGUGAAAGUCCAUGUUGCUGAGCCCAUGUGCAGCCUCCAUCCCUGCCACCACAGCCACUUGGCUCAUGAGUGCACUGGGUGAUGAGAGGGCCAACUGGGAAAAGGCUAUCUGGUGUUCACAGAGCGGGUCAUCCUGUCCACCUGAUUACUGAAGUCCUGCUCUGCUGAGGUCACCCUUUGCUCAGCCUUCACAUGGGACACAGAUAUCUUGAUGUCCUUUGCCUGUUCAGAGAGGGCUCUCUCUACAUCUCUUCCACAAAUGUCUUUGUCACCAGUUUUCCAAUCAUGUUCCUUUCAAGCACCUGAACAUCCCCCUAAAGCCCUUCAACAGCCACGAAUCGGAUAUCAUCACACAUCUGCUCCUUCUAGGCGGAGCGCCAACAGGUGCAUGGGAAGUUCUACUCAUGGGGAAGAUUCCUCUUCGCCACUGUCCUUGAGGGGUGUCCCCCAGGGGCUACAGGGCUGCAGCUGUCUGCCUUACGGCCGGGCCUGCCUGCUGAGCAGAACCGCUUGUAAGCGUGGCCUGACUCUCCUUUUCCUCUGUCAACUAGUGAGAGGGAACUCCUCAUGCAGCUCCAGGAGCAGCCGGGGAGGGAGAAGGCGGGGAGCAGGAGCGGGGCCACGGGCUUCGGGCCUCUUGUUCGUGUAACUUACUCAUGCCUUCAGGACCUGAUCUCCUCCCCCCACCUCCACUGGAUGAUACGGCUCUGCUGGGCACACAUGACGUCACGGCUAUGUGGGUCAGAUAAUCCUGACUGUGACGAGCAGUUCAGGUCUCCCGGGUUCCAGUGAGUCUCCUGCCUCGAGUAGCUGGGAGGACAGGCAUGGGCCAGCACACCUGGCUAACUUUGUAUUUUUAGUAGAGACGGUUUCACCAUAUUGGCCAGGCUGGUCUCAAACUCCCAACCUCAGGUGAUCCACCCACCUCGGCCUCGCAAAGUGCUGGAAUUAGAAGCAUGAGCCACCGUGCCUGGCUGCCAAGUGUUUUGCUCCUACGAAGGCCCAGAAGCAGGCCAAGGGCUGUUUCUCAGGAGACACCCGAGGCACCACUGGACGUGCUGGGUCAUGGAGCCUGCCAGGCAGAGAGGCAUGGAUGGAGCCUGGACCUACUGCAAGAGCCUUCUCUUGCUCUGGGCCGUGUUUAAACCAGCAGCUUUUCAGGUCACUCAGGAAAUGGACAGAGUUGGACACCUAAAGAGCAAGAACGUGUCGACCCUGCAUCAAACAGGCCCCCCUAGUGUUGUUUUUCCCUUCUGGUCACAGGAGGAUUCAGACACAGCAACUUACCCUUCACCUUGGAACAGAACCCACGCCCCUGGAAAUUUCGCUGAGCAUAAUGUCAUCAGUGUAAUGGGCCAGUGUGACAUCCUGGGGAAGGGAGAGGCAAUCAAGACCCCUGAGAACUACCUUUGGACACAGGCUGGAGAGGACUGGAGUUUUACAAGAGGAGAUGAGGACACGGGCACGGACUGGGGGAAGACCCUGUGAGGAUACAGAGAGAAGCCGCAGUCAUCUGCAAGCCAAGAAGAGAGGCCUGGGGAGGAGCCAGCCUGGCAGAGCCUUCAUCUUGCACGCCAGCCUCCGGGACGCUGAGACCGUGAGUCUGUUGUGUAAGCCACCCUGUCUGCGGUGCAGACAAAUGCACUUAGGGUCAGCUCGUUGGUCCUGAAGCUUGUGAGCAGCACGGGGGUAAUGAUCUGGCACUGCCUCCCAGGAAGCUCACGAGAGGGUCACGUCCUGUUCUCCCGGACAGCGCUCCGAUGUCGACACACUCUCCCUUCUCUAACUUUCCAUUUCCCCGCGACCCUGCGGCUCCGGGGCUGACUCCGAGGCGCUCCUACGUCCUGACUGGUUCCUGCAGCUUCGAGGCCCGGUCCUCUUUCUAUCUUCCCCAGCUCUGAACUUCCGGCAGCUUUCGGACUGAGCAUCUCCGUCGUGAAGCGGGAGGGUCUGUGGAACCCCACCCCUUUCCAAGGACAGAAGCUGUUUGCGAUGGUUCAUUUGGUCUGGCAGCCUGACCGGGCCAUGCGAUGUCCAGAUACUUGGUCAGGCAGUAUUCUGGGUGUGUCUGUGGGGAGAUGAGCGUUUGCUCAGGGGACGGUGUGAAGCAGCUUGGGGACAGUGUGCGUGGGCCUCGUCCAACCCACUGAAGGCCUGCAUAGAACGGGAAGGAUGCGUGGGAGAGAAGUCCUCCCACCUGGCUGAGCUGGGACAUUGGUUUUUUUCUGUCUUCAGAUUCAAACUGAAGCAUUGGGUCUUGUUGGGUCUGGAGCCUGUCGGCUUUCAGACUGGAGCUUGUCCCCUCGGCCCUCCUGGGUCUCCAGGUUCCCAGCUGCAGAUCUUGGGACUUCUCAGCCUCUGUAACUGUGUGGGCCAAGUCCUUACAAUGAUCUCUGUCUGCGUAGACAUACACGUCCUACUGGCUCGGUUUCUCUGGAGAAUCCCGACUGUUCCUCAGCCUCCUUGGAACUGUUCCAGAGCCCUGAUGUUGGCCUGGGAGUCGAUUCUGGUGGAAUUUACCCACGUGCUUGGAGCUGGACGUGCAGAGUUUGCACAAGACCACCUCACGCUGAGACCGUGAGUCUGUUGUGUACUUCUUCUCCCACCCAAUUCCUGUGUCCAUCCCAGCUGGGACAAGCAACACUACACCAGGGUCCCCAGAUCCCUGACCUCCCCUGUCCAGCAACCUUCAUUUCCCCCACUGUGCCCGUCACCACCCCUGGGGUCUCUUUAAUCUUGGAUUGCUUCUGCUCUGAGAUUUAAAGUCCAAACCUUGCAUCCCUUCCACACCUCCAGGCCCUCCGUGUCUGCCUUGCCCACCUGCUUCGCCGGGAGCUCCCCACUCAGCCGCACUGCCUGCUUCCCUUGCUGCACUUCUGUGUCUACACAGCGGGGACACCUGGUCCUUCACUUUAAUCACACCCUUGCCCGUGUCCUGAACUCCUCUGUUGGUUGCAGCAGCCUUUAUAUAUUUAUUAUUUAUUUAUUUUGUGAUGGAGUCUCACUCUGUCGCCCAGGCUGGAGUGCAGUGGCAUGAUCUCGGCUCACUGCAACCUCCACCUCCCUGGUUUAAGCCAUUCUCCUGCCUCAGCCUCCCGAGUAGUGGGACUAUAGGUGCACACCACCACACGUGGCUCAUUUUUGUAUUCUUAGUAGAGAUAGGGUUUCCCCAUGUUGGCCAGGAUGGUCUCGAUCUCUUGACCUUGUGAUCUGCCCACCUUGGCCGUCAAAGUGUUGGGAUUACGGGAAUGAGCCACCGCACUCAGCCCGGAACAGCCUUCACAUUGCCCUGGAGGGCUUGUUAGACACGGAUUGCUAGGCCACAGCAUCCCUGAUUUGGGAAGCCCGGGCAGGGCCUGAGAACCUGCAUUUCGGCCACAUUCCCAGGUGAUGCAGCUGGCCCAGGAACCACGCCUUGCAUGUAGGCUACGUUGCAGUAACAAUACACCCUGAGGUCUCAGGUUUAUUUUUCACUUGCAUACGGUGGUCGAGUGACUCUUCAUCUUUCAGCUGACUUUGGGAACAUGUGGCCUGGAAGGUCACCUGGGAAAGGUGUAAGGUCCCUCCAUGCCACGGAUGCCAUGGCGGUCCCCGUGACCCGCACGUACACCUCUGGAUGGCCUCCCGGAAUCAGAAGAUCUGAGAAGGCGAAGAAAUGAUUAACCCCUGAGGUGCCUACUUAACUUUGAGACCUUCUCUAUUCUUCCUUAUUCCCGCCCCAAUUGAUAAGGUUGGACUGUGUAACGGACCUUGGUCAACCUCAUGACUCCACACCCUACAACCCCCUCCCAGGUUGCAAAAGAAAUGCCCAAAAAUGUAACUUCUUUUUUUUUUUUUUGAGACAGAGUUUCGCUCUUGUUACCCAGGCUGGAGUGCAAUGGCGCCAUCUCGGCUCACCACAACCUCCUCCUCCUGGGUUCAGGCAAUUCUCCUGCCUCAGCCUCCCGAGUAGCUGGGAUUACAGGCACGCACCACCAUGCCCAGCUAAUUUUUUGUAUUUUUAGUAGAGACGGGGUUUCACCAUGUUGACCAGGAUGGUCUCCAUCUCUUGACCUCGUGAUCCACCCACCUCGGCCUCCCAAAGUGCUGGGAUUACAGGCGUGAGCCACCGUGCCCGGCAAAAACUGUUAACUUCUGUAACUUUCCACGGUUUACCACCCCCAAACCUGUAAAACCGACUGCUGUUCCUCUGGCCUCCGCUGACUCCCCUUUCGGACUCAGCCGACCUCCACCUGGGUGAAUAAACAACCAUGUUGUUCACACAAAGCCUAGAGGGUCUCUGCAUUCAGAGGGUGCAUUUCAACAUUUGGUGCCAGAAAUCCGGGAUGGGGUACUCCUUUGGAGAGACCAGCCCCCGAUCCCCACUUUCCCUCUGUGAAGAGACCCACCUGAGACCUCAACACAUCAGACCAGACUGACCCAGUAGCUUACGCUUGGCGGCCAAACCACUCUCCAGCCACCUGCAGAUCAGGUAAGCAGCCUCCCCCUCGUUCUCUCUCUUUUCCUUUAAAUCUUUCUCCUUCUAGUAGACACAAAGAGAUGCUACCUGUGUAGAGCUGGAGGAGACAAGUCUCUCCCUCGUUCUCUCUCUUUUCCUUUAAAUCUUUCUCCUUCUAGUAGACACAAAGAGACGCUACCUGUGUAGAGCUGGAGGAGACAAGUCUCUCCCUGUCGCUGAACUCCGAUGUCAGUCACAGACUCAGGAAGACAGUCUCCCCUUGGUGUCUGGUCAAUCUCGGGGACGCCUGCCUUGAUCACUCACCCACGUCACAGCCCGGGAAUCAGUCAGGGAUGCCCCUCUCCUUUCCCUAAAACGUACCCCCUUCGCUAUGGGCAAUGUUCCGCCCUCUGUGCCUCGUCUUCGGCUCUAGCCUGCAUCCUAAAAAACCUAACGCCUCUUCAACUGUUGCCCAGUCUGAAAGCUAAAUGUCUCAUUUGUUUAACGUAAACCGCCUGGCCUCCAUACAAACUAGACGAUGGUUCCAAAUGGCCAGAAGACGGCACUUUCAAGUUUUCCAUUCUGGAGACCUAAACAAUUUCUGUAUAUAAGUGGGCAAAUGGUCUUAAGGAGCCAGACGUCCAGGCACGUUUUUACAUUCUGAUCCCCCGCUAGUCUCUGCUCCUUCUCUUUCUUCCGUCUGCCCCUCCUGCCUCCGCCAGUAACCCAGAAUCCUCCUUGUCCAUCUACCCUUCUGACCUUUCUCUCCCCCACCUGUCCGAACCAGGCCCCAGUCCAGCUCCAGCCCCUGCCCCCCCAGAGCCUCCCUCCUUUGCCUCUGCCCACUACCCACCUCCUUACGCCCCUCCUGUCACCUCCUCAACUCAUACCUAGUCCGGCUGACAGUGUAAUCCUGCAGCCAGCUCCUCCACCCCUGCCUAACAAUUCCCCCUUCGAGAGGCGGCUGGAGCCAAAGGCGCACUCAGGGUGCACGUUCCUUUCUCUCUAUCCGCGCCCGGGUGAAUAAACAGCCAUGUUGCUCACACAAAGCCUGUUUGGGGGGGUCUCUUCGUUCAGCGUGUAUGUUUUAACAAAACGGAAGAGCCAUUAGGAAGUAGCUGACAUUGCUUCCUCUCAUAUCCCACGGGUCAGAAUUCGGUCACAUGACCCCCAUGUGACCACACGAACCAUGGGUGUGACUGGGAAAGGCAGUCUUUCCGUUUGUCUAGGAGGGAGAAAUGGUGAACAUAAGGUAUCGUCUCUUCCGCCAUCCACCCCUCUGUGGACCAGCCGAAGCCCACCCAGUCACUACUCCGCCUCCAGGCCCAGCAGCUCUGAUGGAUGAGCACAUCAGGUUUGGAUAGGCCUUCUCUUGGCCCAGCAACCUAUGGAUUUCAACAUUAAGUUCUCUGUCCCCCCCGUGACAGACUGUCUUUGUGAUCCUGCUCUCUCCCCCUUUCCUGUGCCCAAGGCCAGCCACGACUUGCUGGCAUGGGACUGCGCCCAGCCAAGAUGAGUCCAGCAGAGCCCAGACACAUGAGCAGGAAAAGGUGGCCGUUGUGUGCCAUGGAGACUGUGUGGUUGCGUGUCAAUCUGUGUGUCUCAUGGUGGCCACGUCCUCCUUCACAGAGCCGGCUUCUGUAUUAGUCAGGCCAGGCCAGGCUGUGUUGUGGUAGCAAUCAGAGCCCCCCAAACCCAGCUGCUGGCAGGAGAGUGAGUGUCGGGGACUGGAGUGAUGGUUGCUAGGGAUAGUGAACCCCAAGUUUCUCUUCAAAGCAUCAGUACGUCAGUAUGUUCUAUUCUCUUAUUCUUUAAUUCUCUAUUUUAGAGUUUAACUUCCUUGCUGUUUCAGCAAACAAGCUUUUCCACCAGUUCUGAUCAGUAGUUCACAUCUGUUUCCCUGGUCCCCUGCCCCACCCAGCUCAUUCUGUCACCUGCUCUGACCCCUGCUUACCCGCUCUGACCUGCCGUAACCGUCCUUCCCACCGAACUACCCACCCGCCACUCCGGCUCACACCCCUGCUCCCUUUAAAACAGCCGGUCAGAACUAGACUAGACUGUGUGGUCUCACCCUAGCCAAUAGGGGAACGACACAGCAGUAGGGGCGCCCUCCGUCAGGACACAAGGACCCCUUCCCCUCCUUGUCCAGGUGUGUGCUCGCCAUUGCGCCAUCUGCAAGCCUCACCGUCGUGUGGAAGUAAGCUGCCUUGUGAAGGAAAUCUAUAUUCGACUGCUACUUCUGCGGCAUCAAAAAUUCGACUUAUAACAUGGGGACUUGGUGGUGCCAGAGAAGCAAGCUUGCUAAAAUCACUCCUGGUGACCUGGCAGGCUGAAUGCAAGAAGGCUCAGCCAGGAGCCCAAGGGGCAAAGUGGAAGACACCACACUGUGAGUGCUGUGUCAGGUCCGGUAGCAGGAGACAGAGACUCAGCUUACAAGCAGAGUUGAAAGUGGACAGAGAGAUGGACCCAGAAAUUCAGAGCGCUGCAAGGGCAGAAAAGCCAAUCGCUCCAAGCCUUAGGAUUUUAACAAGCUUUGUGAGCCAAAGGCCCGAUAAAUCGCCUGAGUUGGACUGAUCAACACAAGACAAAGAUGGGAUUAAGGGCCGUUCAAGCCUGAGCGCCUCUGACAGCCGCCACUGAGUUGACUGAGAGCAGAUACACCCUGAAACUGGAGUCUCCUGUGUGCAGCAGUCACGGCUCACUGUGUUCUGAAAGUUUGUGUCCCUCCAAAAGUCCUGUUCAAACCCAGUCCCCAAAGCCACGGUAGUAAGAGGGGGUGCCUUUGGAAGGCGAUGAGACCGUGGGGGCUUCACCCUCAUGUGUGGGAUCAGGGCCCUGUAAAAGAGUGAGGGAUGAGCUUGGUGCCUGUGUGCCCUUUCACCUUCUGCCACGUGAGGAUGUGGCAAGAAGGUCCUCUGAGACACCACCUCCAGGGCCAGAUUCCCAGCCUCCGAGACUGUGAGCAGUCGAUUUCUACGAUUUAUGAACUACCCAUUCUGUGGUGUUUUGUUAGAGCAACACAGACCGACAGACAUUGGUACCGGGCAGUGGGGCUGUUGCCAUAACAGACACCUGGAAGUGUGGCGGCAGAGCCGGAACCGGGUCACGGAGAGGCCGGACCCGUUCUGCGGUGCACGCUGGAAACUGCACAUUUCUGUGAAUGGAGGUGGUGCCGGGGUGACCCAGUGCGGGCCGGGGAGGGCGGGGCUGCAGAGAGAGCCUCCGGGUCCGCAGCGGUGAUCUCAGUGGUCGUGAACGGAAUGCUGGUGGAGCCUCACAGUCAGGGCCAUCCUCGUGAGGUCUUCCACAGACGUGAGAACUCUCUGAUUGGAAACUGGGGGAGGGCCGUCCUUUUUACAAAGCGGCAAAGAACUUGGCUGAAUUGCGUCUGAGCCCUGGGGCUCCGUGGGAGGCAGGAUUUAAAGCGAUGAACUAGAAGAGCUGGUGGGAGAAAUCGCUAAGCAAAGCGCUCUGGCUUCUGUUGACCGCUCACAGCCAGAGGCGAGGAAAGAGAGGUGCGGUAAAGACAUUGAUAGCAGAAGGAACAGACUGGAAAGACUGGGACAACUCUCAGCCGGCCCACGUCAAGGAUAAGGAAGUGUGUUCAGGAGAGAACAGCAAGGGCGUGGCCGGACAAAUCUGGAUCAGAUUAGUGUGGAUAGAAGGAUGCUGGGAGCUGCUCAUCAAGCCAACAGGAGAAUGACCCCCGAGGCAGUUUGGAGAUCUUCCCGGCUGUCAUGCCCAUUACAGGCUCAGAGUGCCAGGGCUUUAGGGCAGAACGGCUUCAAAGGAAGAGCCCGGGGCCUCCGUGAGACCUUGGGGUGUGCUGUCCAGCCCUGCCUCAAUCUCUUUUCCUCUUGCAAGCUGGUGCAUCACUCCUGGCCCAGCCAUGUGACCCAGCGGAGGCUCACAUGGGUCCAGGUGUUCCUUGGGCUGCCAGCCCAGAAGGUGCAGGCAGUAAACCUCUAUGGUGUCAGCACGGUGCCAGCUCUGCAGGUGUGCAGAGUGCACAAGCUGUGGAGGAAAGGCUCCUCCUCCUGGAUUCCAGUGGGUGUCAUGGAAAGCCUGGGGCCCAGGCAGAGAACUGCCACUGGGUUGGGCCAUGGAGAGUUCCCAAAGGACAAUGCCUAGUUGUGCCAAGGAAGCAGAGGACACCCCAAGACUCCAGAUGUGCAGAGUCACCAGCAUGCACCAGCAGCCUGGGAAAGCCACAGGCACACGAAGCUGUAGGUGUGAGGCCACCAGCAGCCUUGGGGGUCCAAUCCUUGCCCCAGUGUGUCCAGAAGGUAGGACAAAGAGUCAAGGACAAUUAUUCUUAAGCUUUAAGAUUUAAUUUUUCCCCGUUGGGUUUUGGAUUUGGUCGUGUUCAGUCACUGCUUUCCUUCUGGUUUCUGGUGUUUGGGAUGGAAUUGUCCAUCCUUAGCCUGUGCCGCUGUCCGUUUUCCGGUAGCACCUGCAUGUCGGGCAGACCAUCUCCAAGUAUGCCCAGAGCCUUCUCUUCCUGUGUCAGCUGAUCAGAGGGAACUCCCCACGUGGCAAGAGAUGCAGGUGGCAAGAGAGAAGGAACUGGGGCGGGGGUGGGGGCCACAGGCGUUUAGGCCACUGAUUCAUGUCACUUACUUGUGCCUUCAGGACCUGCUUGAACCUGGUCACAUACUCAUCACUGUCACUCACGUGGAGUGCUGCUGUGAGCACCCAACUUUAUAGCAAGUGGGUCAGAUAAGCUUUAGAUCAUCAUGGGCCACUCAGGUCAUGUGGCAAGUUGGUGGCCCUUGGUUAAGUGUUUAGUUUCUAUGAAGACCUAGAAGCAGGGUGAUACAGUUAGGCUUUGUGUCCCCACCCAAAUCUCAUCUUUUUAUUUUUUUAUUGUUUUUAUUGAGACGGAGUUUCGCUCUUGUUACCCAGGCUGGAGUGCAAUGGCACGAUCUCGGCUCACCGCAACCUCCGCCUCCUGGGUUCAGGCAAUUCUCCUGCCUCAGCCUCCCGAGUAGCUGGGAUUACAGGCACGCGCCACCAUGCCCAGCUAAUGUUUUGUAUUUUUAGUAGAGAUGGGGUUUCACCAUGUUGACCAGGAUGGUCUCGAUCUCUUGACCUCAUGAUCCACCCUCCUUGGCCUCCCAAAGUGCUGGGAUUAUAGGCGUGAGCCACCGCGCCCGGCCCCAGUCAAAUCUUGAAGUGUAAUUCCCACAUGUUAAGGGAGAGACCUGGUGGGAGGUGACUGGCUUAUGGGGGCUGUUCCCCCCCAUGCUGUUCUCAUGAUAGUGAGUUCUCACGCACGAAAUCUGAUGGUUUUACAAGUGUUUGGUAGUUCCUCUCUUGCUCGUUCUUCUCCCACUAGCCGCCAUGUAAAACAUGCCUACUUUCCCUUCCACCGUGAUUGUAAGUUUCCUGAGGCCUCCCCAGCCAUGCAGAACUGUGAGUCAAUUAAGCCUCUUUCCUUUAUAAAUGACCCAGUCUUGGGUAUUAUCUUUGUAGCAGUGUGAAAAAGACAGACUAAAACACAGUUCAAGACCUGUUUCCCAAAAGGAGAGUGGUUAUCCGUGGAUGAUGACAGGGCCUUUCUCCAAAAUCCUAAGGGCCCGAGCUGUGAGUCACCAACCUGGGCUUGGCAAAGACUGCACACAGUGUCCCUGCCUGCCACUGACACCUCAGGCUGGAACUGCUGGGUCGUGUGGUCCAUGUGGCGGAGCAGCUUGCACGGAGCCUGGACCUGCUGCUGGACCACGUUCAAAAGUAGCAGCUUUGAAAUCACUCAGUAGGUGGCCAGAGUCUGACACCUAAAUGAGGAAGAACCCGUCUUCUUCACAUCGAACGGGCCCACGUGAUGUUGGUCUCUCCUGGCUGUAAGAGGGUUCAGAGGUAACAACCUAUGCAUCACCCUGGAGCAGGCCCCACACCACCCGGCUCCUAGAAAUCUCACCGAGGUAGAAGGCUCUGAAUCUUAGUGGGAUGCAUUUCCCACUCUCUGACACCAAUAAGUAUAGAACAAUUGCUACUUCCUGUGCCUUAUGUCCAACUAGCAUACUGUUUUCAGCGUAAUGGGCCAGUGUGACAUGCUGGGGAAGGGAAGGGUGAUCCAGACCCCGAGAAUUACCUCCGACACAGGCUGGGGAGGUGAGAGACCUCUGAGGUGGAACGGAGAGGGUGCGCUGUUGGCCGGGCUUCUGCUUGGCCCUGUAGACAGGGGUGGAGAAGAAAGCAUUGGUAGGUCAUUGGCAGUGUCUCAGGUAGCAGAAGAUGUGCCACUUCGCUCAAACAAUGGAGCCACGUCUGGCUCAGCAGCUGCAGCUGGAGUCAAGCUUAGGUCAAUCCCCUGUCAUUCUCCAGGGCCCGCCUGUCUUCCCUACUGGCCACAUAGGUGAGUGAAGCGGGGCCGAGGUGGGGAUCACUGCCCCUUCAUCUUUCAGUCAUUUGAUGGUGGCACUAACCUCCGAAAUUCCUCCGGAAAUGCAGCUUUGGACUGAUUAUUUUUGUAUCGCUUUUGGCUCUCUAUUUUCCUAGGUAGAGGCAGCUCUAAUGGCUUCCACUUGACCCACCACAGUAACCCUCACUCCACAUGUCAGGACACCCAUGUGGGGACACGGCCAGUGGCUGAAGACAGGUGUGCACAGCGUAAGGAUGCUUUGGUUGAGAAUGGGUACGAGUAUGAUGGUGGUGCCAUAGAUUAUCAUGGAGCUGACAAUGUCCUGUCGCCUGGUGACAUUGCAGCACAGUGCGUUUUGCAUUAGUCCUUUCUCACACUGCUAACAAAGGACAUCCCCAAGCCUGAGCAAUUUAUAAAGGAAAGAGGUUUAAUUGACUCACAGUUCAGCAUGGCUGGGGAGGCCUCGGGAAACUUACAAUCACGGUGGAAGUGGGAGCAGACAGGUCCUUCACAUGGUGGCAGGAAGGAGAAGUGCCAAACAAAAGGGGGAAAACCCCUUAUAAAACCAGAUCUUGAGCCAGCUCACAGAACCAGACUCCCUUAAAUCAAGAUAAGGCUGGGUCUUCUCUGAGAGAACUCACACACUACCAGGAGAGCGGCGUGGGGGUAACCACCUCCAUGAUUCAGUCACCUCCCACCAGGUCCCUUUCACAACACGUGGGGAUUGUGGGAACUACAAUCCAAGACGAGAUGUGGGCUGGGAAGCAGCCAAACCAUGUCAAUUACUCAUGUGUUUUGUGGUGGCGCUGGUAUAAGUCAACCUGCCGUGCUCCCAGUCAUAUAAAAUUGUCUAGCACAUACACUGGACAGUGAUAACAAACCACGCUGCUGGUUGAUAGACUCACUACACUUCGUACUGUUGUUUCACAGUGUACUCCGUCUACUUACGUAGAAAACGAGUUAAAUGUAAAACCGCCUCAGCCAGUUUCCUAAGGAGGUGUCCGGAAUAAGGCGCUGUUAUCACCGGAGGUGACAGUUCAAUGCAUGCCGCUGCCCGUGAAGACCGUGCAGUCACAAGACUGGACAAGGUGUGACAGUGGAAGAAGUGAAACUGAUGAUCUUCACCCUGUGUAGGCCAAGGCUCAUGUGUGUGUUUGUGUCUUUGCUUAUUUUUUUUUUUUAACUUACUUUUUUUUAAAUUGUACUUUAAGUCCGGGGUACAUGUGCAGAUCGUGCAGGUUUGUUACGUAGGUAUUCACGUGCCAUAAUGGUUUGCUGCAUCCAUUCCCCCGUCAUCCACAUUAGGUAUUUCCCCUGACCCCCCAACCCCUGCUGUCCCUCCCCUAGCCCCCCACCCCUCGACAGGUGCCAGUGUGUGGUGUUCCCCUCCCUGUGUCCAUGUGUUUUCAUUGUUCAACACCCACUUAUGAGUGAAAACAUGAGGUGUUUGGUUUUCUGUUCUCGUGUCAGUUUGCUGAGAAUGAUGGUUUCCAGCUUCAUCCAUGGCCCUGUGAAGGACAUGAACUCAUCCUUUUUUAUGGCUGCAUAGUAUUCCAUAGUGUAUAUGUGCCGCAUUUCCUUUAUCCAGUCUAUCAUUGUGUCUUAGUUUUUAGCAAAAAAGUUUAAAAGUAAAAAAAAAAAAUACAUAAUUAGGCAGGAAGGUAUUAGAGUGGCCUGCACAUUUUACCCUACAUCAGUGGGCUCCACCCCACAGCCUAGGUGGGCAGUAGUCUCUCUCAUCUAGGUGUGUGUAAGUAUAUCCUAUGAUGUUCACACAACGGUGAAAUCCCCUGAUGGCGAAAUCUCCUAAGGAUGCAUUUCUCGGAACGUACCCAUCAUUGACACACGGAAUAGGCAGUAUGUCUAUUCCGACUAUGCAGUCUGUAACCUGCGGAAGAACCAACAGUGGGUUUGGGAAUCCCCUGAGCCAAGAGUGAGAUCAACCUGACCUGAAGUCCACCCAUCGCCUCAUGCCCCACGAGCCCCUGCUCUGACUGCAGGGCCACAGGGACACUUCCAGUCUUCUAGAAUCAGUGUGGGUUCAGAGCCAGUGUCCAGCAGUCCUCAGUAAAUCUGAUUAUUUCGUCCCCCCGCCCCGUGCAUAGUUACCCUGGGAAAGCAUGAGGAGGCUGGGGGAAAGAGCAACAGUAUCAAUCCUUCCUGGGGAAGACCCAGCCUCCUUUUGAUUUAAGGAGUCUGGGUAAGCGGGCUCAAGACUGUGAAUUGACUGAAGGACUGUUGACUCUCUGCUUUUAUGAUUCAGGCUAGAGUUCUGUCCGUCGAACCUGGGAGUUUUCUGCUUGCUCAGAUCCAGUAAGAAUUUGGUAGGCUUCCUGUCUAUUUUACUUUGUGGACAAAAAAAGCACUAAACGCUGUAAAAUAUGUAAAGAGGUUUAUUGUGAGCCAGAGGCACAGUCUCAAGAGGUCCUGAGAACAGGAGCCCAAGGUGAUGAUUGGGUUGCACCUGGGUUUUUGUUUUUUUUUUUUUUGAGAUGGAGUUUCGCUCUUGUUACCCAGGCUGGAGUACAAUGGCGCGAUCUCGGCUCACCACACCCUCGACCUCGUGGGUUCAGGCAAUUCUCCUGCCUCAGCCUCCUGAGUAGCUGGGAUUACAGACACGCGCCACCACGCCCAGCUAAUUUUUGUAUUUUUAGUAGAGACGGGAUUUCACCAUGUUGACCAGGAUGGUGUCGAUCUCUUGACCUCGUGAUCCACCCACCUCAGCCUCCCAAAGUGCUGGGAUUACAGGCGUGAGCCACCGCACCCGGCCAUGCACCUGGGUUUUAUACAUUUUAGGGAGACAUCCAUCAAUACAUGUGAGGUUUCUCCGGGUUCAGUCUGGAAAGGCUGGACAACUCAAAGUGGGCAGUGUGGACUUCCAGGCCACAGCAGAUUCAGAGUUUCUGAUUGACAAUUGGUUGAAAGAAGUUGUGAUCUAAAGACCUGGAAUCAAUAGAAAGGAGUGCCUGGGGUAAGACAAGGGGUGGUGGAGACCAAGGUUCUUAUUAUGUAGAUUGAGUCUCACAGGUGGCUGCCCUGAGAGACAGACGUUAGAGGACAGAUGUUUCCUAUUCAGACCUUUGAAGGGUGCUAGAGUCUCAGUUAAACUCUUCAGAACUGGGAAAGCCCGAAAAGGGAAAUAUUUAAUUAUAUUAGAGACUCCUUAAAAAUGCAAAUUUCCUUCCACAAAAGACAGUGUUGCAGGGCCAGCUCAAAAUAUGGCAAAACACAUAUUUUGGAAUAAAACAUUUUGAUUUCUU